AGGACUUCUUGUUUCAUUCAGUUGACUUUAGGUGAGAAACGAAGGACACAACACCAAUUCAUCAAUCCUUAGCCUUUCAAAACAUAGCAAACUGAACCAGGACCAACUCCGAACAAAUAAAAAGGAAAUGUAUACAAAACCAGCAGGCACGACUGAACAGAAUCAUAGCGCGCAAUACACCUCGAGAUCGAACCAACGACAAGUAUAACAUCUUAUAUCUACAGCAAAACAGGCCAUGU
Molecule: unclassified non-coding RNA, 239 nt
Filed under: Hevea brasiliensis (rubber tree)
Lineage: Eukaryota; Viridiplantae; Streptophyta; Magnoliopsida; Malpighiales; Euphorbiaceae
Source: RNAcentral